CGGGACAUAGAAUCCGACGAAGAUGAGGAAGACACUGCUGAAGUUGCCACUGAGGAUAGACAGCAUAAUGAGAUUAAUAUGUUUCAGCCUCCAACAUAUAUUGAUGAAGCGGUUCCUAGCUAUUCUACUGAAGUUGCUACUGAAGAUUGCCAACUUAUUAAUCAGUCCCUAGAAAAUGUCGAGGAAACGUUUUCUAGCUGUGAUGAGUAUGAGAAAGAAAAUGAUGAAAAAGAAC
Molecule: long non-coding RNA, 235 nt
Organism: Anoplophora glabripennis (Asian longhorned beetle)
Lineage: Eukaryota; Metazoa; Arthropoda; Insecta; Coleoptera; Cerambycidae
Exons: 3
Source: RefSeq, a predicted model, not a curated record